AUCCCAUCAGCAACCAGACUCAACAUCUGGACAUCACUCACCUCUGUCACACAUGUUCAGACUCUGUCCACUGUUGUGGUCCUACUGAAGCUGUGAUCCGAUUGGUCCUCUCUGCUCUGGUGGGCGUGGCUACUAUCAUUAUUCUGGUUUAUGACAUCAGACCCAGAAGAGCUGAACGAGAUCAAGCUCAUAUUCACACAUCAGGAAGUAUUGAAAUCUAAAGCACAGCUGAUUUUUUGUUCUUCUAGUGUUUUUGUCAUAAUAAAUACUGAUGAUUAAUUUGAGCUAGAUUAUUUUGAGAUUUUAAAAAUCUUAUUUGUAAAGCUUUGUUUAUAUUUCUCUUAGAUACAAAAUUAAUAAAGAGACACACAGAUCUCACUUUACUAAUACUGCUGUUCAUCUGUCAUAUGUAUUUGCUUGUCUUUAUCAAUAAAGUUUUCUCAC
Megalobrama amblycephala (Wuchang bream) is the source of this 444-nucleotide long non-coding RNA. RefSeq lists it as uncharacterized. Lineage: Eukaryota; Metazoa; Chordata; Actinopteri; Cypriniformes; Xenocyprididae. The transcript is spliced from 3 exons. The record is from RefSeq and is a predicted model, not a curated record.